Molecule: long non-coding RNA, 609 nt
Filed under: Monodelphis domestica (gray short-tailed opossum)
Lineage: Eukaryota; Metazoa; Chordata; Mammalia; Didelphimorphia; Didelphidae
Description: lncRNA (ENSMODG00000033956.2)
Source: RNAcentral
GACCAGAAUCUAUGUCUCCCAAAGUCUAGUCUAGUGUUCCUCAUUAACUCUUUAAUAGUGAAAGACAUUCUGGAUCCUGAGACUGGACAAAAUGACAGAGGGGGGUAACUGAAGAAAAACAAGGAAACAAAGCUGAGAGAUGAGAAAUACAACAGGACAACAAAGUUCCGGUGGCAUCAAGCCCUCAAGGGCUUCAGAACUCCUGGAGGAAGGGGUGUCUUAUCUCUCACAAAGGACUGGAGACUCCUGCACAAGAGGGGCCUCAACUGCUUUUGUUUCACAACGUCCCCAUCCUUCCACAAAGACUCAAUGAUGGACUGACUAAAAAGCAUUCGGACCCAGGACACUUCUAUCUCUCCAGUACCCUCCUCCCAGAAGAGAGGAAGUACACAAGGAGACCUUGUCUUCUGUUGGAGAGAAGGGCCUUUCCCAAUGUCAUUUCUUCCUUGGGCAGAAGGCCUUCAAGUGGUCUAAACCAUAUCUUCAUUUGGAAAAUGGGAUUUAUAAUAAUAAUGAUCAUUAAUAAUAAUACCUGCCCUGCCCACCUGACAAGGAUAUUGAGAUGUUCGUAGCAGCACUUUGGAAAAUAAAAAGCAUUGUAUAUGUUCA